RNAcentral lists this unclassified non-coding RNA (357 nucleotides) under soil metagenome. Its description in RNAcentral is "partial contains 5.8S ribosomal RNA, internal transcribed spacer 2, and large subunit ribosomal RNA". The stretch from base 1 to 120 matches the Rfam family "5.8S ribosomal RNA", at positions 35 to 154 of the family's 154-position model. The record is from RNAcentral.
GAUGAAGAACGUAGCGAAAUGCGAUAAGUAAUGUGAAUUGCAGAAUUCAGUGAAUCAUCGAAUCUUUGAACGCACAUUGCGCCCGCCAGUAUUCUGGCGGGCAUGCCUGUCCGAGCGUCAUUUCAACCCUCGAACCCCUCCGGGGGGUCGGCGUUGGGGAUCGGGAACCCCUAAGACGGGAUCCCGGCCCCGAAAUACAGUGGCGGUCUCGCCGCAGCCUCUCCUGCGCAGUAGUUAGCACAACUCGCACCGGGAGCGCGGCGCGUCCACGUCCGUAAAACACCCAACUUUCUGAAAUGUUGACCUCGGAUCAGGUAGGAAUACCCGCUGAACUUAAGCAUAUCAAUAAGCGGAGGA